AGAGUUUGAUCAUGGCUCAGGAUGAACGCUGGCGGUCUGCUUAACACAUGCAAGUCGAACGGAGUAGAAAUACUUAGUGGCGGACGGGUGAGUAACGCGUGAGAAUCUGCCUUCAGGACGGAGACAACAGUUGGAAACGACUGCUAAGCCCCGAUGAACCGAAAGGGAAAAUAUUUAUAGCCUGAAGAUGAGCUCGCGUCCGAUUAGCUAGUUGGGGGGGUAAAGGCCCACCAAGGCGACGAUCGGUAGCUGGUCUGAGAGGACGAUCAGCCACACUGGGGCUGAGACACGGCCCAGACUCCUACGGGAGGCAGCAGUGGGGAAUUUUCCGCAAUGGGCGAAAGCCUGACGGAGCAAGACCGCGUGGGGGAAGAAGGCUCUUGGGUUGUAAACCCCUUUUCUCUGGGAAGAAAGUUGUGAAAGCAACCUGACGGUACCAGAGGAAUCAGCAUCGGCUAACUCCGUGCCAGCAGCCGCGGUAAGACGGAGGAUGCAAGCGUUAUCCGGAAUGAUUGGGCGUAAAGCGUCCGCAGGUGGCAGUUCAAGUCUGCUGUCAAAGACCGGGGCUUAACUUCGGAAAGGCAGUGGAAACUGAACAGCUAGAGUAUGGUAGGGGCAGAGGGAAUUCCUGGUGUAGCGGUGAAAUGCGUAGAGAUCAGGAAGAACAUCGGUGGCGAAGGCGCUCUGCUGGACCAUAACUGACACUCAGGGACGAAAGCUAGGGGAGCGAAUGGGAUUAGAUACCCCCGUAGUCC
RNAcentral lists this ribosomal RNA (755 nucleotides) under uncultured cyanobacterium. RNAcentral's name for it is "bacterial SSU rRNA". It matches the Rfam family "Bacterial small subunit ribosomal RNA", at positions 8 to 796 of the family's 1533-position model. The record is from RNAcentral. Lineage: Bacteria; Bacillati; Cyanobacteriota.